AUUGAACGCUGGCGGCAUGCCUUACACAUGCAAGUCGAACGGCAGCACGGGUGCUUGCACCUGGUGGCGAGUGGCGAACGGGUGAGUAAUACAUCGGAACAUGUCCUGUAGUGGGGGAUAGCCCGGCGAAAGCCGGAUUAAUACCGCAUACGAUCUACGGAUGAAAGCGGGGGACCUUCGGGCCUCGCGCUAUCGGGUUGGCCGAUGGCUGAUUAGCUAGUUGGUGGGGUAAAGGCCUACCAAGGCGACGAUCAGUAGCUGGUCUGAGAGGACGACCAGCCACACUGGAACUGAGACACGGCCCAGACUCCUACGGGAGGCAGCAGUGGGGAAUAUUGGACAAUGGGCGAAAGCCUGAUCCAGCAAUGCCGCGUGUGUGAAGAAGGCCUUCGGGUUGUAAAGCACUUUUGUCCGGAAAGAAAUCCUUGGCCCUAAUACGGUCGGGGGAUGACGGUACCGGAAGAAUAAGCACCGGCUAACUACGUG
This 486-nucleotide ribosomal RNA is filed under the name uncultured bacterium. RNAcentral's name for it is "partial 16S ribosomal RNA". It matches the Rfam family "Bacterial small subunit ribosomal RNA", at positions 30 to 507 of the family's 1533-position model. The record is from RNAcentral.